This 658-nucleotide long non-coding RNA is filed under the name Zonotrichia albicollis (white-throated sparrow). Its description in RNAcentral is "lncRNA (ENSZALG00000013821.1)". The record is from RNAcentral. Lineage: Eukaryota; Metazoa; Chordata; Aves; Passeriformes; Passerellidae.
UCUGACUCGGUGCUAGCUGCCUGGAGUGUGAUUGAUCACUAAGAAAUGAAGAUAUCAACAAUUUGAUCACGCCUGCUUGUGUGGCUUUAUAGCAUCAGAAAACAAUAGAUGAUUUUCAGAUUGGCCUAGCUGAUAAAGAAGAAAGGCCCUUUGUAUGGAAAAUUGCACACUGUACUCUGAAUACAGCCAAGUGGAUGAAAGGAAGCUGAGAGGAAGGAUGAAACUGGAGCGAACAACUCAAUCAAAUGUCUCAUUUACUUGGGAAAUGUCUAAAAUUGGGCUUGGGAGGAGAGAGAUGGCAGAUGUGUCAUUUCUGCUAAACUGGAGGAGGAACCUGAGCAAAGAGAUGCUUAUGAAUCCAGACAUCUGUUCAAACAGAAAGCUCUUUGUGUGUUUCAACUUCUCCCAGGAUUACUCAGCAGCUACUCUUCAUGCUUGUGUGUUAUCAGUAUUUAGCACUGGGAAGUCUGAACAGUCGUUACACAGCUGCAGGGGUCAGGACUUCAGAAGAUGUUGGAAAUCAUUGACAGCCGUCUUGAAGGACACCAGCUGAGACUGGAACUACUCAGGGCCAGCCUGAAAACCCAUAAUCAUACCUUUGUUACUUUGUGCCAGUUUGAAGAGAGAAACUGCUAUCAAAUCCCCUAGAGAGAUGCUG